AUCCAGCUGACGAGUCCCAAAUAGGACGAAAAGCGCAUCCUGGAU
Molecule: non-coding RNA, 45 nt
Organism: Trichobilharzia regenti
Lineage: Eukaryota; Metazoa; Platyhelminthes; Trematoda; Strigeidida; Schistosomatidae
Source: Rfam